GACGAACGCUGGCGGCGUGCUUAACACAUGCAAGUCGAACGGAAAGGCCCUGCUUUUGUGGGGUGCUCGAGUGGCGAACGGGUGAGUAACACGUGAGUAACCUGCCCUUGACUUUGGGAUAACUUCAGGAAACUGGGGCUAAUACCGGAUAGGAGCUCCUGCUGCAUGGUGGGGGUUGGAAAGUUUCGGUGGUUGGGGAUGGACUCGCGGCUUAUCAGCUUGUUGGUGGGGUAGUGGCUUACGCAGUCUUUGACGGGUAGCCGGCCUGAGAGGGUGACCGCGGUCCAUGCUCCUGCGGGACGGCCCAGUCGGCAACGUUGGGCAGUAGUGGGGAAUAUUGUGCAGCGGGGCCGCGCGUAAGGCGGCGACGCUCGGUUCGUGAUGUCCGUUUUCCGGUUGUAAACCGCGUUCGGCUGUGACCAAUCCUGAGUGACGUUACCCGGUAAAGAAGCACCGGCUAACUACGUG
RNAcentral lists this ribosomal RNA (468 nucleotides) under uncultured bacterium. RNAcentral's name for it is "partial 16S ribosomal RNA". It matches the Rfam family "Bacterial small subunit ribosomal RNA", at positions 28 to 507 of the family's 1533-position model. The record is from RNAcentral.